AUACGGUGAAUACGUUCCCCGGACCUUGCACACGCCGCCCGUUCAAGCCAUGGAAGCCGGGUGUACCUAAAGUCGGUAACCGUAAGGAGCCGCCUAGGGUAAAACUAGUAACUGGGGCUAAGUCGUAAACAAGGUACC
This 138-nucleotide ribosomal RNA is filed under the name uncultured bacterium. RNAcentral's name for it is "partial 16S ribosomal RNA". It matches the Rfam family "Bacterial small subunit ribosomal RNA", at positions 1357 to 1500 of the family's 1533-position model. The record is from RNAcentral.